Molecule: transfer RNA, 24 nt
Filed under: Meliosma herbertii
Lineage: Eukaryota; Viridiplantae; Streptophyta; Magnoliopsida; Proteales; Sabiaceae
Also listed under: 8 other names
Description: partial tRNA-Leu
Source: RNAcentral
GCCGCCAUGGUGAAAUCGGUAGAC